AGCAUUAUACCGUGAAACUGCGAAUGGCUCAUUAAAUCAGUUAUCGUUUAUUUGAUAGUACCUUACUACUUGGAUAACCGUGGUAAUUCUAGAGCUAAUACAUGCUAAAAACCCCAACUUCGGGAGGGGUGUAUUUAUUAGAUAAAAAACCAACGCCCUUCGGGGCUUCUUGGUGAUUCAUGAUAACUUUACGGAUCGCAUGGCCUUGCGCCGGCGACGGUUCAUUCAAAUUUCUGCCCUAUCAACUUUCGAUGGUAAGGUAUUGGCUUACCAUGGUUUCAACGGGUAACGGGGAAUUAGGGUUCGAUUCCGGAGAGGGAGCCUGAGAAACGGCUACCACAUCCAAGGAAGGCAGCAGGCGCGCAAAUUACCCAAUCCCGACACGGGGAGGUAGUGACAAUAAAUACUGAUACAGGGCUCUUUUGGGUCUUGUAAUUGGAAUGAGUACAAUUUAAACCUCUUAACGAGGAACAAUUGGAGGGCAAGUCUGGUGCCAGCAGCCGCGGUAAUUCCAGCUCCAAUAGCGUAUAUUAAAGUUGUUGCAGUUAAAAAGCUCGUAGUUGAAACUUGGGUCUGGCUGGCAGGUCCGCCUCACCGCGUGUACUUGUCCGGCCGGGCCUUCCUUCUGGAGAACCUCAUGCCCUUCACUGGGCGUGUUGGGGACCAGGACUUUUACUUUGAAAAAAUUAGAGUGUUCAAAGCAGGCCUUUGCUCGAAUACGUUAGCAUGGAAUAAUAGAAUAGGACGUGCGGUCCUAUUUUGUUGGUUUCUAGGACCGCCGUAAUGAUUAAUAGGGACAGUCGGGGGCAUCAGUAUUCAAUUGUCAGAGGUGAAAUUCUUGGNAUUUAUUGAAGACUAACUACUGCGAAAGCAUUUGCCAAGGAUGUUUUCAUUAAUCAGUGAACGAAAGUUAGGGGAUCGAAGACGAUCAGAUACCGUCGUAGUCUUAACCGUAAACUAUGCCGACUAGGGAUCGGGCGAUGUUCUUUUUCUGACUCGCUCGGCACCUUACGAGAAAUCAAAGUUUUUGGGUUCUGGGGGGAG
Molecule: ribosomal RNA, 1044 nt
Filed under: Poaceicola italica
Lineage: Eukaryota; Fungi; Ascomycota; Dothideomycetes; Pleosporales; Phaeosphaeriaceae
Description: SSU rRNA
Rfam family: Eukaryotic small subunit ribosomal RNA
Source: RNAcentral